This 1212-nucleotide long non-coding RNA is filed under the name Homo sapiens (human). RNAcentral describes it as "novel transcript". Lineage: Eukaryota; Metazoa; Chordata; Mammalia; Primates; Hominidae. The record is from RNAcentral.
AUUCCUCCUGCGCGGGAGCUUUGGGGACGCACUUCUGGAUGCCUAGGCCUCUUCCGUUUGCCUCUGGGACUGGCGAUACUCGAGAUGUCUUGAGGCCUUCCAGACCUUGCUCCACCUCCACCACCAGGUCUCCAGUCCUGAGCCACAUGCUGCCAUUUUUGUCUCAGAAGCACCCCUCUUCCAGGUGGAAGAUUGAAGGUCUGAAGAGUGGGAAGUCCCAGGAACAGGCAAUUCCAGGAAGAUAUGAGGAAAAUCAAGAAAGAGAAGGAAACUGAAGCUAGUGGGAAGUGCUUCAAGUUGGAGAUGAUGCUGAGAUGGCCAAAAAGUGAGAGGUGGAAAACAUUUGGAGUGAGUUAAGGAGAGAACGCGAGGCAAGGAAGUGAAGCUGAUUUUCAAACCUGAGUGAAUGAAUGAAUAAACGGACCUGGGAAUUGAUCAACAAUGGCUGCUGCAUCGCGUAAAGAGAGACGACCAGGUGUCAGCUGGCUGUCAACUGAUCUAGGAUGGUCUUGGAGGGACAACGAGGGCAACCCCAUGUCUCUUCUUUAGCAGGCCAGCCCAGACAUGCUUUCAUGGCUGAAUAGGAGCCAGCCUGGUCAUGGGAGCAAUUUUCAAGCAAGUCUCUGCUUGAAUGUCACAUUUACUAACAUCCUGUUGGCCAAGGUGCAUCCCAUGGCUGAGCCCAGUGUCCAAGUGAAAGGGCACCAGGAAGUUCCCUGCAGCGCUGUGGGUACUGGAAGAAUGGGCGCCAUCUUCAUGACAGCAGCAUGCUAAGUUACAGAAAGUGAGCGGCGUUCUAGACAAAGCAAGCUCAUCUGUGAAUGGAUCAUGGCGGAAACCUGACCACAGUAUGUUGGGAUUUAUGUGUUUGACAUUUUCUAUAAUAGAAAGGCAGAUCAAAAAUAAGGCUCCAGUGCCUCCACUCAGGAAAGCUCAAGUAGGUUUUCUUGAGAAUUUUUAGUGGAUACCCUGUUUUGCAAUGUUCUUUUCUUUUUCUAAUGAGGCUGAACCAGAUUGUAAUGCCAUGAGGCUUCUACAUGGAGAGCUGGACGUUGGUGAGGAUUGGGUGGAGAAGGCCGGGUGGAGGCUGGGCCUGGGAGAAGAGCAGCAGAUUCCCAAACGUACUGGUAUUGGUGCAUACUCUGAGAAAGACAUCUCAGAGCACUUCUGCCGUCAGUUACGAAGUUUCAAUAUAAGAAUUCUUUCUACACA